Molecule: long non-coding RNA, 1159 nt
Organism: Camelus dromedarius (Arabian camel)
Lineage: Eukaryota; Metazoa; Chordata; Mammalia; Artiodactyla; Camelidae
Exons: 8
Source: RefSeq, a predicted model, not a curated record
CCAAUGUGAGCUAAUGAGUAAACUUUAGUAUUAUAUGAAAAAUAGUUAUGACACAAAGGAUUUUUCAAGGAAUGGAAAUACAUGUCAACUGGUAUCCUCACCUAUAUAAGCAUAUUCUAAUUGGAUGACAUAAUCCCAGGGUUGGAAAUUGCCUUGAUAAAAUUCAUUACUAUUUCCUUCCUCUCUCCCCAUCUGUCUUCCCCAUAAUGUCUCUGUUUCUAAUCAGGAGGAAUAAAGUUCAUGGCUGAAAAGCAGUUUGGAAAUCCAGAUAGGCAGCAGGAAACCACAGAACGCAAGCUCCAUGAAGGUAGAAACGAUCUAGUUCACUGCUGUAUCCACAGUGGCUGGAAUAGCACCAGACACAUGCUGGAUACAGAUGAACAUAGCAACAUCGGAAGCCACAUCUUAAAGAUGGAAGAGCCACCAGAUGGCAGGAUCCUGGGUCCCUGAAUCACCAUUUAGAAGACAGCUGCUCACUAGUCAAGAAUACACAUCUGGACCUUUCUUGAGUGAGAAAGAUAAGAGAUGAGGAGAAGCUGCUUCUACAAGCUGCGGAUGGUUGUCCCCUUGGUGACCUGAAUGACAAAUGUGCGUAGCACAGGCAAUGGGAAAGUGAUCUGCCCGCCAGGAUGUCAGCAGAUGUCCUCCUGGAUGCCUUGUCUGUAUUGCAUUAAAAACACAUGGAAGUUGUUUUCCACGGAGGCCGAGCUCUGCCCCAAACUUGGCACCAGCCGCUGCCGCGGUGACAGCGGCUGACGCCGCUGCCUCAGAACACAUUGAGAAGGUACUCGCUACAAACUGGGAAGUGGGACGUCACCACAACUGAACCAUGCUGGCACCCUCAUCGUCGUGGACUUCCCAGCCUUCAGAACUAAGGACAGUGCAUCGGAUUGCUUUCUGUGAACACCAUCAACAAACCUAUUGAUAGAAAAACCAGUCACCACAUUUCCAAAGAGCAUUGCCCAAUUCGAAUCAUGGGGCAAGGAAAUAUGGAAGAAAGUGGUGGCCUGGUGCUGCGGUGGUCUCACUGAGCUGGAGAGAUGAAACAUCCAGGACUCGAGGAGGCAAGUUCCCAGAGAAGAGGGAACCAAAGAAAAGCAUGAAGGUGAUUUGCUGUCCUGGCUAAGCACACAGGGAGAGGUCAAGACUGGAGAGUGAC